Molecule: ribosomal RNA, 492 nt
Filed under: uncultured bacterium
Lineage: Bacteria
Description: partial 16S ribosomal RNA
Rfam family: Bacterial small subunit ribosomal RNA
Source: RNAcentral
GAUGAACGCUAGCUACAGGCUUAACACAUGCAAGUCGAGGGGAAACGGUAUUAAGUGCUUGCACUUUUUGGACGUCGACCGGCGCACGGGUGAGUAACGCGUAUCCAACCUUCCCAUGACUAAGGGAUAACCUGCCGAAAGGCAGACUAAUACCUUAUGGUCUUCACUGACGGCAUCAGAUGUGAAGUAAAGAUUUAUCGGUUAUGGAUGGGGAUGCGUCUGAUUAGCUUGUUGGCGGGGUAACGGCCCACCAAGGCAACGAUCAGUAGGGGUUCUGAGAGGAAGGUCCCCCACAUUGGAACUGAGACACGGUCCAAACUCCUACGGGAGGCAGCAGUGAGGAAUAUUGGUCAAUGGGCGAGAGCCUGAACCAGCCAAGUAGCGUGCAGGAUGACGGCCCUAUGGGUUGUAAACUGCUUUUGUAUGGGGAUAAAGUCAAUCACGUGUGAUUGUUUGCAGGUACCAUACGAAUAAGGACCGGCUAAUUCCGUG